GAUGAACGCUGGCGGCGCGCCUAACACAUGCAAGUCGAACGGUUAAAGCACCUUUUAGGUGUGUAUAAAGUGGCGAACGGCUGAGUAACACGUGGGCAACCUGCCCUCCUCUUGGGGAUAGCCUCGGGAAACCGAGGAUAAUACCCGAUACUUCAAUGUGGCCGCAUGGCGACAUUGAGAAAGCUUUUGCGGAGAAGGAUGGGCCCGCGGCCUGUUAGCUUGUUGGUGGGGUAGAGGCCUACCAAGGCAAUGAUGGGUAGCUGGGUUGAGAGACCGACCAGCCAGAUUGGGACUGAGACACGGCCCAGACUCCUACGGGAGGCAGCAGUGGGGAAUCUUGCACAAUGGGCGAAAGCCUGAUGCAGCGACGCCGCGUGCGGGACGAAGGCCUUCGGGUUGUAAACCGCUUUCAGCAGG
This 417-nucleotide ribosomal RNA is filed under the name Lancefieldella rimae. RNAcentral describes it as "bacterial SSU rRNA". It matches the Rfam family "Bacterial small subunit ribosomal RNA", at positions 28 to 443 of the family's 1533-position model. Lineage: Bacteria; Bacillati; Actinomycetota; Coriobacteriia; Coriobacteriales; Atopobiaceae. The record is from RNAcentral.